GGGUUGUGAGGUUAAGCGAACAAGCGUACACGGUGGAUGCCCUGGCAGUCAGAGGCGAUGAAGGACGUGCUAAUCUGCGAAAAGCGCCGGUAAGGUGAUAUGAACCGUUAUAACCGGCGAUGUCCGAAUGGGGAAACCCGGUGCACUUCGGUGCAUCAUCGUUAGCUGAAUACAUAGGCUAACGAGGCGAACCGGGGGAACUGAAACAUCUAAGUACCCCGAGGAAAAGAAAUCAACCGAGAUUCCCCCAGUAGCGGCGAGCGAACGGGGAACAGCCCAGAGCCUGAAUCAGCUUGUGUGUCAGUGGAACGGUCUGGAAAGGCCGGCGAUACAGGGUGACAGCCCCGUACACGAAGGCACACAGGCUGUGAGCUCGAUGAGUAGGGCGGGACACGUGAUAUCCUGUCUGAAGAUGGGGGGACCAUCCUCCAAGGCUAAAUACUCCUGACUGACCGAUAGUGAACCAGUACCGUGAGGGAAAGGCGAAAAGAACCCCGGCGAGGGGAGUGAAACAGAACCUGAAACCGUGUACGUACAAGCAGUGGGAGCCUUCGUAAGAGGGUGACUGCGUACCUUUUGUAUAAUGGGUCAGCGACUUAUAUUCUGUAGCAAGGUUAACCGUAUAGGGGAGCCGAAGGGAAACCGAGUCUUAACCGGGCGUUAAGUUGCAGGGUAUAGACCCGAAACCCGGUGAUCUAGCCAUGGGCAGGUUGAAGGUUGGGUAACACUAACUGGAGGACCGAACCGACUAAUGUUGAAAAAUUAGCGGAUGACCUGUGGCUGGGGGUGAAAGGCCAAUCAAACCGGGAGAUAGCUGGUUCUCCCCGAAAGCUAUUUAGGUAGCGCCUCGUGAAUUCAUCUCCGGGGGUAGAGCACUGUUUCGGCUAGGGGGCCAUCCCGGCUUACCAACCCGAUGCAAACUGCGAAUACCGGAGAAUGUUAUCACGGGAGACACACGGCGGGUGCUAACGUCCGUCGUGAAGAGGGAAACAACCCAGACCGCCAGCUAAGGUCCCAAAGUCAUGGUUAAGUGGGAAACGAUGUGGGAAGGCCCAGACAGCCAGGAUGUUGGCUUAGAAGCAGCCAUCAUUUAAAGAAAGCGUAAUAGCUCACUGGUCGAGUCGGCCUGCGCGGAAGAUGUAACGGGGCUAAACCAUGCACCGAAGCUGCGGCAGCGACACUAUGUGUUGUUGGGUAGGGGAGCGUUCUGUAAGCCUG
This 1218-nucleotide ribosomal RNA is filed under the name Cronobacter sakazakii. RNAcentral's name for it is "bacterial LSU rRNA". It matches the Rfam family "Bacterial large subunit ribosomal RNA", at positions 1 to 1251 of the family's 2925-position model. The record is from RNAcentral. Lineage: Bacteria; Pseudomonadati; Pseudomonadota; Gammaproteobacteria; Enterobacterales; Enterobacteriaceae.